This 253-nucleotide ribosomal RNA is filed under the name uncultured bacterium. RNAcentral's name for it is "partial 16S ribosomal RNA". It matches the Rfam family "Bacterial small subunit ribosomal RNA", at positions 524 to 776 of the family's 1533-position model. The record is from RNAcentral.
GACGUAGGGCGCAAGCGUUGUCCGGAUUUAUUGGGCGUAAAGGGCUCGUAGGCGGUUUGUCGCGUCGGGUGUGAAAACCUACAGCUUAACUGUGGGCUUGCUUUCGAUACGGGCAGACUAGAGGUAUGCAGGGGAGAACGGAAUUCCUGGUGUAGCGGUGAAAUGCGCAGAUAUCAGGAGGAACACCGGUGGCGAAGGCGGUUCUCUGGGCAUGAUCUGACGCUGAGGAGCGAAAGCGUGGGGAGCGAACAGG